RNAcentral lists this non-coding RNA (390 nucleotides) under Trichinella sp. T9. RNAcentral describes it as "Eukaryotic small subunit ribosomal RNA". It matches the Rfam family "Eukaryotic small subunit ribosomal RNA", at positions 1445 to 1831 of the family's 1831-position model. The record is from Rfam by way of RNAcentral. Lineage: Eukaryota; Metazoa; Nematoda; Enoplea; Trichinellida; Trichinellidae.
AAAGAGCAAUAACAGGUCUGUGAUGCCCUUCGAUGUCCGGGGCUGCACGCGCGCUACAAUGAAAGCGUCAACGUGAGUUACGUCCUUACCUGAAAAGGUUUGGCAAUCGAAUGAAACGUUUUCUUGAAUGGAAUAGGGAAUUGCAAUUGUUUCCCUUGAACGAGGAAUUCCCAGUAAGCGUGAGUCAUUAGCUCGCGUUGAUUACGUCCCUGCCCUUUGUACACACCGCCCGUCGCUACUACCGAUUGGAUGAUUUAGUGAGGUGUUUUGACUGGCGCCAGUAGUCGGAUGUAUUCGGCUUCGCGCCGGGAAAUUUCCCAAACCAAAUCAUCUAGAGGAAGUAAAAGUCGUAACAAGGUUUCCGUAGGUGAACCUGCGGAAGGAUCAUCG